AUUGAACGCUGGCGGCAUGCUUUACACAUGCAAGUCGAACGGCAGCGCGGGCUUCGGCCUGGCGGCGAGUGGCGAACGGGUGAGUAAUGCAUCGGAACGUGCCCAGUAGUGGGGGAUAGCCCGGCGAAAGCCGGAUUAAUACCGCAUACGACCUGAUGGUGAAAGCGGGGGACCGAAAGGCCUCACGCUAUUGGAGCGGCCGAUGUCGGAUUAGCUAGUUGGUGGGGUAAAGGCUUACCAAGGCGACGAUCCGUAGCUGGUCUGAGAGGACGACCAGCCACACUGGGACUGAGACACGGCCCAGACUCCUACGGGAGGCAGCAGUGGGGAAUUUUGGACAAUGGGGGCAACCCUGAUCCAGCCAUGCCGCGUGCGGGAAGAAGGCCUUCGGGUUGUAAACCGCUUUUGUUCGGGAAGAAAUACUCUGGGCUAAUACCCCGGGGGGAUGACGGUACCGGAAGAAUAAGCACCGGCUAACUACGUG
RNAcentral lists this ribosomal RNA (484 nucleotides) under uncultured bacterium. RNAcentral describes it as "partial 16S ribosomal RNA". It matches the Rfam family "Bacterial small subunit ribosomal RNA", at positions 29 to 507 of the family's 1533-position model. The record is from RNAcentral.